This is a long non-coding RNA of Pongo pygmaeus (Bornean orangutan), 1983 nucleotides long. RefSeq lists it as uncharacterized. The record is from RefSeq and is a predicted model, not a curated record. The transcript is spliced from 3 exons. NCBI's taxonomy places the organism in Eukaryota, Metazoa, Chordata, Mammalia, Primates, Hominidae.
UGACUAAGAAUGCCUAACCACCUAGAAUGCAACCCAGCAGGUCUCAGGCUUAUUUUACCCAGCCCCUAUUAAAGAUGGAGUCACUUUUGUUCAAACACCUCUGACAGUAUGAAGGCAUAUAAAAGAAAGUUUCUCCAUCACUAUUCCUCGCCUUCUAACUCUAUUUAUUAUGAAGGAUACAACUCAGGAGCAGCCAAAUGAAGAGAUGCUGAGGGCAAGGCACACUCUCUGCGUGCACCACCUUCCUAGCGCCUCAUUGUGGUCACAGACAUAGAUGCUUCCACCUGGCUAGUGGAAGCAGCUAUUUAUUUGGAAAGAAAAUCCACAUUACACAAUCAAGGGAAAAAAAUUCUUUUUUCUCUCCCCAUAAUUUCCUUCUUUAUUAAUCAUACUUCACCCAAAGCUAUUUAAGAUUUUAUAAACUUAAAUUUUAUUUGAUUUUAUUUAUUUUGAGUCAGGGUUUGGCUUGUUGCCCAGGCUGGAAUGCAGUGGUGGGAUCUCAGCUCACUGCAACAUCCACCUCCCAGGCUCAAGCAAUUCUCCUGCCUGAGCCUCCUGAGUAGCUGGGACUACAGGCGCCUCCCUGCCUGGCUCAUUUUUAUAGUUUUUUGUAAAGACAGAGUUUCGCCAUGUUGCCCAGGCUAGUCUGGAACUCCUGAGCUCAAGAGAUCCACCUGCCACAACCUCCCAAAGUGCUGGGAUAAUAGGCCUGACCCACAGCACCAGCCUAAACUUAAAUUUUUUAAAUCUAUGGCUUCUUAGUGGGACCUGAAGGCUGCGUGACCAUCCUUCACAUAAACAGCUCAAUUUAGAAGCCAGAAGGAUUAGAAUGUAUUCUGAAGUACAAAAAUAGCAUAGAUCACUUAAGUGGGGUAGCAGUUGAGUAUUUAGGUCUUGGUCCAGGAAACUACAACCAAGGGAUGCCCUGGCUUACCCAUUUGGGUUACUCUGGCAUACUUCUGUAGAGAAAGAGAAAUAUCUUUUCCUCACCCAUUCUAUGAUCACAGCUGAGUCCCCUAUAACAAAAGAAGAAUUAACAAGAGAAAAGCAUACACAUUUACUUAAUAUCACUUUUGCAUAACACGGGAGCCUUCAUAAGGAAAUGAAGACUGGAAGAAAGUGGUAAAUCUUUAUAAUUUUUAAGUUUGACAAGUCGAGAAUCACGAAGACAUAUGAUUGGAUUAAAAGUAUGAUCUAAUUUAAUAAAUGGGGGUGGGGAGUAUUUAGCAAGGCCUGUUUGUUCAGAUUCUUCUCUGUGUCCCUGUGUCUUCAGAGGUAAGGAUGUUGCUUUCCUCCUGGUAGAGGAAGGGCACCUCUCAAAUGAGUGUCUUAUGACCCACUUCAGAGGAAAAUCAGAAAACCCUUCCAGGUUUUCUUACCUGCUUCAGGGGAAGAACGCAGACAGGGUGAGAAUGACUUCCUUGCUUCUGCUGUUUUCUCAAAUGCCAAGGUGCAAUAUCUUGGAGUACCAUGUCCUGAACCCCAUCAUUGCCAAAUAGAGAAUGUAAUGGUCCCUUUUUACAAAAUAAACAUAACUGAAAACCGGAUUGGGUUAGAACCUUGCCACCUGGCUUGAAUUAUUUCUUUUAUCCUUAUUUUUUAUGCAGAUAAGCUUAAGAAGUCAGACCUUAAAUGGCAUUUUUUUAAAGUUGCCUCUGGAUUUUACUUUCUUUACUGGCUCUAAAGAAGCUCCACAAUUGCCCAGAAAGAAUGGGCCAAUCCCCAGCUGUCCUUUGUUUAUAAUUCCUUCCCUCCUCCCCGUGGUCUCCUUUCCUGCAGUCCCUCCCCCAGUGGCCCAAACUUUGCUUUUGAAGGCAUCCUUGACUUCAGAGAAGUUAGACCAUGUCGCGAAUGUCUCUUCUUUCUCUAAGGCAGGCUAAUAGAGAUAAUGGGCCCUGUGGGAGAGAAGAAGCCGAAGAAAGAGAAGGGUUCCUUUGGAUACUUAAGGGAAUUAUUGACAAGGCUCAGCCGACUCAAACUCAC